AACAUAAAGGUAACAACAUACAGGUAAUAACAUACAGGUAACAACAUACAGGUAACAACAUACAGGUAACAACAUAAAGGUAACAACAUACAGGUAACAACAUACAGGUAAUAACAUAAAGGUAACAACAUAAAGGUAAUAACAUACAGGUAACAACAUACAGGUAAUAACAUACAGGUAACAACAUAAAGGUAAUAACAUAAAGGUAACAACAAGUAACAUUAAAGUGAUCCUGAUACUCACAGAG
Molecule: long non-coding RNA, 247 nt
Organism: Dicentrarchus labrax (European seabass)
Lineage: Eukaryota; Metazoa; Chordata; Actinopteri; Moronidae
Exons: 3
Source: RefSeq, a predicted model, not a curated record